AUUGAACGCUGGCGGAAUGCUUUACACAUGCAAGUCGAACGGCAGCACGGACUUCGGUCUGGUGGCGAGUGGCGAACGGGUGAGUAAUGUAUCGGAACGUGCCCAGUCGUGGGGGAUAACGUAGUGAAAAUUACGCUAAUACCGCAUACGAUCUAAGGAUGAAAGCGGGGGAUCGCAAGACCUCGCGCGAUUGGAGCGGCCGAUAUCAGAUUAGGUAGUUGGUGGGGUAAAGGCCCACCAAGCCAACGAUCUGUAGCUGGUCUGAGAGGACGACCAGCCACACUGGAACUGAGACACGGUCCAGACUCCUACGGGAGGCAGCAGUGGGGAAUUUUGGACAAUGGGCGAAAGCCUGAUCCAGCCAUUCCGCGUGCAGGAUGAAGGCCCUCGGGUUGUAAACUGCUUUUGUACGGAACGAAAAGGUUUCUACUAAUACUAGGAGCUCAUGACGGUACUGUAAGAAUAAGCACCGGCUAACUACGUGCCAGCAGCCGCCGCAG
This 500-nucleotide ribosomal RNA is filed under the name uncultured bacterium. RNAcentral describes it as "partial 16S ribosomal RNA". It matches the Rfam family "Bacterial small subunit ribosomal RNA", at positions 30 to 523 of the family's 1533-position model. The record is from RNAcentral.